GUAGGUGGCAAGCGUUGUCCGGAAUUAUUGGGCGUAAAGCGCGCGCAGGCGGUCCUUUAAGUCUGAUGUGGAAGCCCACGGCUCAACCGUGGAGGGUCAUUGGAAACUGGGGGACUUGAGUACAGAAGAGGAAAGCGGAAUUCCACGUGUAGCGGUGAAAUGCGUAGAGAUGUGGAGGAACACCAGUGGCGAAGGCGGCUUUCUGGUCUGUAACUGACGCUGAGGCGCGAAAGCGUGGGGAGCAAACAGGGAUUAGAUACCCUGGUAGUCCACGCCGUAAACGAUGAGUGCUAAGUGUUAGGGGGUUUCCCGCCCCUUAGUGCUGCAGCUAACGCAUUAAGCACUCCGCCUGGGGAGUACGGCCGCAAGGCUG
This 373-nucleotide ribosomal RNA is filed under the name uncultured organism. RNAcentral describes it as "partial 16S ribosomal RNA". It matches the Rfam family "Bacterial small subunit ribosomal RNA", at positions 527 to 896 of the family's 1533-position model. The record is from RNAcentral.